This 307-nucleotide long non-coding RNA is filed under the name Gossypium raimondii (Peruvian cotton). RNAcentral's name for it is "long non-coding RNA (GRAI_LNC008618)". Lineage: Eukaryota; Viridiplantae; Streptophyta; Magnoliopsida; Malvales; Malvaceae. The record is from RNAcentral.
ACAGAAACACCAAAAUCUCACUUACCAAAAUGAACGAUGGAAAACGAAAAUCCUAAUAUGCAAAGAUUUGGCGAUAGUUUGAACAGGAUAGGAGGAGAUGGCAAAAAGAAGAAAAGAACGAAAAUACGAAGAAAAGAAAAUUUUGAAAAAAAAAACCAAAUAAACAAUUUGAUUACAAUUCCAACUCCCCACUAACAACUCAACCUCAACUACCUCAGAAUUUUAAGACCACUCAAACACUCUCAGCCAACCGAAACAAAAAUUAACACCCUCACUCUCGUAGGGAUUCGAACACAAGAGAUCUAGC